GACGUAGGGCGCGAGCGUUGUCCGGAUUUAUUGGGCGUAAAGAGCUCGUAGGCGGCUUGUUGCGUCGACCGUGAAAACUUGGGGCUUAACCUUAAGCUUGCGGUUGAUACGGGCAGGCUAGAGUUCGGUAGGGGAGACUGGAAUUCCUGGUGUAGCGGUGGAAUGCGCAGAUAUCAGGAGGAACACCGAUGGCGAAGGCAGGUCACUGGGCCGCAACUGACGCUGAGGAGCGAAAGCAUGGGGAGCGAACAGG
Molecule: ribosomal RNA, 253 nt
Filed under: uncultured bacterium
Lineage: Bacteria
Description: partial 16S ribosomal RNA
Rfam family: Bacterial small subunit ribosomal RNA
Source: RNAcentral